This 327-nucleotide ribosomal RNA is filed under the name unidentified proteobacterium. Its description in RNAcentral is "bacterial SSU rRNA". It matches the Rfam family "Bacterial small subunit ribosomal RNA", at positions 1062 to 1391 of the family's 1533-position model. Lineage: Bacteria; Pseudomonadati; Pseudomonadota. The record is from RNAcentral.
GUGUCGUGAGAUGUUGGGUUAAGUCCCGCAACGAGCGCAACCCUCGCCUUUAGUUACCAUCAUUUAGUUGGGGACUCUAAAGGAACCGCCGGUGAUAAGCCGGAGGAAGGUGGGGAUGACGUCAAGUCCUCAUGGCCCUUACGCGCUGGGCUACACACGUGCUACAAUGGCGGUGACAGUGGGCAGCAAACUCGCGAGAGUGCGCUAAUCUCCAAAAGCCGUCUCAGUUCGGAUUGUUCUCUGCAACUCGAGAGCAUGAAGGCGGAAUCGCUAGUAAUCGCGGAUCAGCAUGCCGCGGUGAAUACGUUCCCAGGCCUUGUACACACC